RNAcentral lists this ribosomal RNA (301 nucleotides) under uncultured bacterium. Its description in RNAcentral is "partial 16S ribosomal RNA". It matches the Rfam family "Bacterial small subunit ribosomal RNA", at positions 509 to 807 of the family's 1533-position model. The record is from RNAcentral.
CAGCCGCCACGGGAAAACGAAGGGGGCUAGCGUUGUUCGGAUUUACUGGGCGUAAAGCGCACGUAGGCGGACGCUUAAGUCAGGGGUGAAAUCCCGAGGCUCAACCUCGGAACUGCCCUUGAUACUGGGUGUCUUGAGUCCGGGAGAGGUGAGUGGAACUGCGAGUGUAGAGGUGAAAUUCGUGGAUAUUCGCAAGAACACCAGUGGCGAAGGCGGCUCACGGGCCCGGAACUGACGCUGAGGUGCGAAAGCGUGGGGAGCAAACAGGAUUAGAUACCCCGGUAGUCCCUGUCUCUUAUAC